RNAcentral lists this ribosomal RNA (508 nucleotides) under uncultured bacterium. Its description in RNAcentral is "partial 16S ribosomal RNA". It matches the Rfam family "Bacterial small subunit ribosomal RNA", at positions 28 to 507 of the family's 1533-position model. The record is from RNAcentral.
GACGAACGCUGGCGGCGUGCCUAAUACAUGCAAGUCGAACGCUUCUUUCCUCCCGAGUGCUUGCACUCAAUUGGAAAGAGGAGUGGCGGACGGGUGAGUAACACGUGGGUAACCUACCCAUCAGAGGGGGAUAACACUUGGAAACAGGUGCUAAUACCGCAUAACAGUUUAUGCCGCAUGGCAUAAGAGUGAAAGGCGCUUUCGGGUGUCGCUGAUGGAUGGACCCGCGGUGCAUUAGCUAGUUGGUGAGGUAACGGCUCACCAAGGCCACGAUGCAUAGCCGACCUGAGAGGGUGAUCGGCCACACUGGGACUGAGACACGGCCCAGACUCCUACGGGAGGCAGCAGUAGGGAAUCUUCGGCAAUGGACGAAAGUCUGACCGAGCAACGCCGCGUGAGUGAAGAAGGUGUUCGGAUCGUAAAACUCUGUUGUUAGAGAAGAACAAGGACGUUAGUAACUGAACGUCCCCUGUCGGUAUCUAACCAGAAAGCCACGGCUAACUACGUG